RNAcentral lists this non-coding RNA (29 nucleotides) under Mus musculus (house mouse). Lineage: Eukaryota; Metazoa; Chordata; Mammalia; Rodentia; Muridae. The record is from RNAcentral.
UACAUUGACUGAUUCACUUGGUUUGUCCC